RNAcentral lists this ribosomal RNA (851 nucleotides) under Panulirus longipes. RNAcentral describes it as "12S ribosomal RNA". The record is from RNAcentral. Lineage: Eukaryota; Metazoa; Arthropoda; Malacostraca; Decapoda; Palinuridae.
CUUCUAGGUACACCUUCCAGUACACCUACUAUGUUACGACUUAUCUCAUCUGAUUUAAUGAAAGCGACGGGCAAUAUGUACACACUUUAGAGCUAUUAUCACUUUACCUUGCUAAAUUUAAACUUACAAUUAAAUCCAUCCUCAUAUACUGAGUUCUCAGUAUAAUCAGCCUCUUUUAAAAUAUUGUAACCCAUUUAUACUUAUUCAUUAGCAGCACCUUGAUCUAAUAUACUUGAUUUUCUCAAUUUCAAUAAUUCAUAUAUAAAUUAUCUAACAAUGAAGGUAUACUGGCUGUACAAGAACAAGAGAGAUUCUACGUGGUUUAUCGUUUAUAUAACAGGUUCCUCUAACUAGACUAAAGUACCGCCAGGUUCUUUGAAUUUCAAACAAAUUAGUUAUAAAUACUCCAGUUAUGCAUUAUUAUUAUUUUUUAGUGUAACAGGGUAUCUAAUCCUGGUUCAUACCUAAAACUUUCUGGCCUCGACCUUAGUUCAUCUCUUUUAAUGCUUAAUGACCUUAUUAAUAUACAAAUUUCACCCCUUAUUAACUUAAGCCCUAAAUAAGAGCAACUUGACUUUAUCUAACCAAAUAACUUAUAUUUCUUCACUAGGCCUUCAAGUCUAACCGCGGAUGCUGGCACAAGUUUUAACCUGACCUAAGUGGUAUUUACUUAGUCCAACUUUUGUUGAUUUCUAAAUUUUUAGUACUGCCUCCUCUCGUUUAUUGCGUAAACUCAUACUGGCUCAAUCUCUCACCUCCAUAUUUAAUGGAAGCAUAAACCUUUAAACACUAACAUUUGCAUGUACUAUUCAACCCAAUUAGCAAAGAAUAUAGCAAGAAUCAAACUAUAG